Cinara cedri is the source of this 315-nucleotide non-coding RNA. Lineage: Eukaryota; Metazoa; Arthropoda; Insecta; Hemiptera; Aphididae. The record is from the annotation of a GenBank genome assembly.
GCAGACGUUCAAACUAUUAUUUCAGAAACACUUUCAAUAUAAAAAUAUAGGCUACAUAGAGGCUCUUCUGCAGGGGGACAUAAUACGGACGUGGGUCCCCCCCCGUAACCUAAGCGUUAAUAAUGAGAAAAAAAUAUACCCUUUAAUAUCACGAAAUUAUUAUUACAGUAAAAUGUAAAAAAUACACAGACAGAUAAAAAAAUUAUAAACGGUGUUUUACACAGAUGAUGGACGCAUCAUUGCGGGCGACGAGCUGCAGAUUUCGAUCGUGUGCAUACCGUUGACAAUCGAUGGAGCAGCAAUUUUACUACAAAC